Molecule: transfer RNA, 85 nt
Filed under: Urochondra setulosa
Lineage: Eukaryota; Viridiplantae; Streptophyta; Magnoliopsida; Poales; Poaceae
Description: tRNA-Leu
Rfam family: tRNA
About the family: Transfer RNA (tRNA) molecules are approximately 80 nucleotides in length. Their secondary structure includes four short double-helical elements and three loops (D, anti-codon, and T loops). Further hydrogen bonds mediate the characteristic L-shaped molecular structure. tRNAs have two regions of fundamental functional importance: the anti-codon, which is responsible for specific mRNA codon recognition, and the 3' end, to which the tRNAs corresponding amino acid is attached (by aminoacyl-tRNA synthetases). tRNAs cope with the degeneracy of the genetic code in two manners: having more than one tRNA (with a specific anti-codon) for a particular amino acid; and 'wobble' base-pairing, i.e. permitting non-standard base-pairing at the 3rd anti-codon position.
Source: RNAcentral
CAAUGGGGAUAUGGCGAAAUCGGUAGACGCUACGGAAGGAAAAUCCGUCGACUUUCUAAGUCGUGAGGGUUCAAGUCCCUCUAUC